This 67-nucleotide ribosomal RNA is filed under the name Mastigamoeba balamuthi. Its description in RNAcentral is "partial 28S rRNA". It matches the Rfam family "Eukaryotic large subunit ribosomal RNA", at positions 1 to 65 of the family's 3401-position model. Lineage: Eukaryota; Evosea; Mastigamoebida; Mastigamoebidae. The record is from RNAcentral.
UUACACCUCAUCUCGAGUGGGAAUACCCGCUGAAUUGAAGCAUCUUAAUAAGCGGAGGAAAAGAAAA